RNAcentral lists this long non-coding RNA (361 nucleotides) under Theobroma cacao (cacao). Its description in RNAcentral is "long non-coding RNA (TCAC_LNC005488)". The record is from RNAcentral. Lineage: Eukaryota; Viridiplantae; Streptophyta; Magnoliopsida; Malvales; Malvaceae.
UUUCUUCCUCUCCUUUUGUUCUUUUGUUUAUCAAUCCUUCUUCCCAUUCUCUAAAACCUAAAAACAAAUUGCUCUUCCUCCGUCGUCCCUAUCUGCCACUGGGCUUUCUACUGCCUCCCUUCACCUCUCAUUUCCUUUUGAACCAAGGUCUGAAGAAACUCCUCCUCCGUCGUCCCUAUCCGUCGCUGGGCUUUCUACCGCCUCCCUUCACCUUUCCUUUCCUUUUGAACCGAGGUUGAAGAAACUCCUCCUCCGUUGUCCCUAUCUGCGGCCAGGCUUUCUACCGCCUCCCUCCAAGUCUCCUUUCCUUUUGAACCGAGGUCUGAAGAAGCUCUAAAAGAUACCAGAACCCGAAGCCAAC